Molecule: ribosomal RNA, 444 nt
Filed under: uncultured bacterium
Lineage: Bacteria
Description: bacterial SSU rRNA
Rfam family: Bacterial small subunit ribosomal RNA
Source: RNAcentral
GGUACCGUAAGAAUAAGCACCGGCUAACUACGUGCCAGCAGCCGCGGUAAUACGUAGGGUGCGAGCGUUAAUCGGAAUUACUGGGCGUAAAGCGUGCGCAGGCGGUUAUGUAAGACAGAUGUGAAAUCCCCGGGCUCAACCUGGGAACUGCAUUUGUGACUGCAUAGCUAGAGUACGGCAGAGGGGGAUGGAAUUCCGCGUGUAGCAGUGAAAUGCGUAGAUAUGCGGAGGAACACCGAUGGCGAAGGCAAUCCCCUGGGCCUGUACUGACGCUCAUGCACGAAAGCGUGGGGAGCAAACAGGAUUAGAUACCCUGGUAGUCCACGCCCUAAACGAUGUCAACUGGUUGUUGGGUCUUCACUGACUCAGUAACGAAGCUAACGCGUGAAGUUGACCGCCUGGGGAGUACGGCCGCAAGGUUGAAACUCAAAUGAAAUUGACGGA